AAUUAGCCCCGAUGGAAGCGACAUCCUUUGGGUUGGCGUGAGGCGGCGGAGCGUAGCGGAGCCGUCCGAGCGCCAAACCUAAAGAUACAGCGGACAGCGGGUAUAAAA
Molecule: small RNA, 108 nt
Filed under: Soonwooa buanensis
Lineage: Bacteria; Pseudomonadati; Bacteroidota; Flavobacteriia; Flavobacteriales; Weeksellaceae
Description: Flavo-1 RNA
Rfam family: Flavo-1 RNA
Source: Rfam by way of RNAcentral